CUCCCUGAGGUUGCAGUGGAGCAAACUAAAAAUUGCAGAUCUUAUCUCCUUAAGCAGUAGUAGAGCAGAUCGAAAACGGCGAAUCUUAUCUUCAUGUAGCGGCAAUGGAGCAGAUUUAAGCCACCAGCCUAAUCUCUCUGAAGUUGCAGUGGAGCAGGUUCAAGAUACAAGUCUUAUCUCCCUGAGGUUGCAGUGGAGCAGACUGAAAAUUGUAGAUCUUAUCUCCCUAAGUAGCAGUGGAACAGAUCGAAGACGGCGAGUUUUAUCUUCCCAAUGUAGCAGGGAGUAGAUUUAAGCCACUAGCCUUAUCUCCCUGAGCAAUAGUAGAGUAGGCUGAAGAUUGCGAAUCUUGUCUCUUUAAGUAGUAGUGGAGAAAAUCGAAGAUGGCGAAUCUUAUUUUCUAGAGGUAAUAGGGAAGCAGAUUGAAGCCAUCAGCCUUAUCCCCCUAAAGUUGCAGCGGAGCAGACUGAAGAUAAUGACUCUUAUUUUCUAUAAGUUUCAGUGGAGCAGAUCGCAAUUACAAAUCUUUUUUCCCCGAAAUUACUUUUGAAUGGCUAGAAGCAACAAUUUCUAUACCCUUGAAGAUACAGUAGGUUAAAGCGAGGCUAUCUGAAGAAAAGAAGCAUCAAGAGGGCAAGCUCAGUAAGAUCGGGCAAAAUUGGCCCUUUUUAAGUCUUUGCUCCAUUCUCGUUACACGACAAUGGGCAAAGAGGGGCAGUUGUAGGGCCCAAUUUUAGCCCGGUCCAAACUUAAAGACCCAAAAUAUACAAGGCAGCCCAACAGGCUCAAAACAUAACCCUAGCCUAAACUAAAACACUAAACAGAAAAUAGGGAAGCAGCACACCCCUUGGACCAGCCCCACAUGUUCGUCGGCCGCUCCAUAUCCCGCUCCUCCACGUUCUCACCCACGUACCACGUCAGUGCCCACGUCCACUACGCCACCCAUAACCUGCAAUGGUCUAAAGUGUUAUAAUUUAGGCUAUAUAAAGCCAUAGUCAACACUGUAAAAGGGGGACGGAUAUUACGAAUAUACAAACAGAUACAAAAUCAUAAAAUAUAGAGAAGUUUUUAAAAGGUGAUUUUUUUCCUACAUUUGGCUUUUGAUUUCAAUUUGUUUUAUUUUAUUUCUUACCUGUGCUUAACAAAAAUAAGCGAAGGGAAAGGAGUCACUUACCUUAAGUUGAAGAGUUUAAUAUUGUGGGUCAGAAGAGGACGUCAUCGCCGAUAAACAGCGACGAAGCCUGUUUUCCGUCUUUGUUUUUCAAAAAAAUACAAUGCCUUAAAAUACGAAUGUUUUUGGUUCGUUUUUGAAAGACUUUCAAUUUUUUUUUCCAAAAUGGACACUAGAUCAGGGUUCUGAGUUUAAAAAAUGAGAAAAAAGAGGGUUUUAGAACUCCGACCACUGCGCACGGUAGUCGUUGGUGACAGACCAACGAUGGUCGGUGGCUGGCCUUUGGGUUUGUUAGAGAGAAAAAGAGAGAAGGCCAUCCUUUUUUUUGAAACAAAAGAAAGAAAUAAGAGAAAAAUAAAAUUUUUCAAGUCUUAUAAUGGGGUAAAACGGUGCGUUUAGCACCCCCCUAAGUGCUCCAUACGACGCCGUUUUACCCCAUAUAUCCCCAAUCCGUUUGACCCGAUCCGAUACCCAGGAGGACCCACUUGUUUUGUUAAAAGGGGUUAUUUGCGCAGUCAGUCCCUCCCCUUUGCGUUGCUAUUUGAUUAGGCCCAUGUGCAUUCCUUUUUUCUGUUUUAAAUUUUGGCCCAGGAGUUUUGUGUCAGUUUUGUUUUGACCCACAAUUAAAUGUUGCGUUUUGGUAACUGGGGAUAUUUUCUUUUUGAAUCCUCCUUUGUUUGCGCGCAUUAUAUUUUAGUCCUUGAUUCUGUUUUAAUGGUUUAUUUAUUUAGGAAUUAUCUUUUUUAUUUUGUUUUUGUUUCAAUUGAAUCCUUUCUCCUUUUAAAUGUCGGCUUUUGUAUAUAUAUAUAUUUUAUUUGAAGUUAUUUGUUAUCCUUGUUUUAUAUUAUUCAUUUUUAUAAAUUAUUCCAUGUUAUCCUCCUUUUAGAAAAAAAUUUGAUUUAAUAUAUCUUAUUUGAAUUAUUUUAUAUACAUUACUUAUCUAACGUGGUUUAAUGUGGCUUUAUUUAUUUAUUUUGAACUCUUUUAUAUAUCUGUAUAUGUUUUUGCCCUCUUUGAUUGUUUUAUUAUUAUAAACUUUUAUACGCUAUUUAUUUUUAAACUUUUGUGUACAUUUUUUUUACUAUUUAUUUUGAACCUUUUUUGUACUUUCAAUUUGUUAUUUGUUUUAAUUUGCUUUACAUAUUAUUAGCUAGAUAUUUUUGUACAUAUUAUUUAUUUGAAAUUCAUAUAUAUUUUAUCUAUUUUAAAUCUAUAUAUGUAUAUCCUUUGGUUUAAAAUGUCUUAUAUGUUAUUUUUUAUUUUAUUUUUUUAUACCAUCUAUUUUAACUUCUUACAUAAUGCUCAUCUCAAAUUUUUAUACAUUAAUUACUUUAAUACUUUCAUAUAUUAUGUAUUGUAAACUCUUUUUUCACACAUUAUAUAUUAUUUUUAAAGAGUUUUAUAUAUUAUUUUAUCUUGAAUGGAUUCUAAUUUUUUUUAAAAUUAUUUUAUAAACUUUAGAUCGCUUUUAUAACAUCCAUUUCGAAUCCUUUUUAUGUAUUAUUUGCUUAGAAUUGUUUUAUAUUUUAUUUUAGAUCUUCCUUCUUUGUAUUCAUCU
This 2729-nucleotide long non-coding RNA is filed under the name Gossypium barbadense (sea-island cotton). RNAcentral's name for it is "long non-coding RNA (GBAR_LNC009048)". The record is from RNAcentral. Lineage: Eukaryota; Viridiplantae; Streptophyta; Magnoliopsida; Malvales; Malvaceae.